This 166-nucleotide unclassified non-coding RNA is filed under the name soil metagenome. RNAcentral's name for it is "partial internal transcribed spacer 1". The record is from RNAcentral.
GUGAAUUGAAUAUUGUUAGCGGACCUCUUUGGAAGUCCCUAGCCAUCAAAUCAUAUCCAUAACACCUGUGAACUGUAAGGCUGUCUUGAAAACGAAAGUGAUUAGAGCGCCUGCCCAUUUUAUACAAACAUUAAAGUAACAAACGUAGUCUUAUUAUAAUCUAAUA